RNAcentral lists this microRNA precursor (97 nucleotides) under Nicotiana attenuata. Its description in RNAcentral is "MIR6152 microRNA precursor family". It matches the Rfam family "MIR6152 microRNA precursor family". The record is from Rfam by way of RNAcentral. Lineage: Eukaryota; Viridiplantae; Streptophyta; Magnoliopsida; Solanales; Solanaceae.
UGGACAGAUUAUUGUAUUCGACUGUAUUCAUGACGUGAAAUAGGGGAUUACACUGUUUUUAAAACGGAAAGUGAAUCAAUUAACAUAAUAGACUCCA